RNAcentral lists this long non-coding RNA (2567 nucleotides) under Triticum aestivum (bread wheat). RNAcentral's name for it is "long non-coding RNA (TAES_LNC016681)". Lineage: Eukaryota; Viridiplantae; Streptophyta; Magnoliopsida; Poales; Poaceae. The record is from RNAcentral.
GGCUUCAACUUUCUUCCACCAAGGUGCUUUCACUCGCUGAUGCAAGGAUUGUAAUUUUCUCCCUCGUGAGCUCUCUCUCUCUCUCUCUCUCUCUCUCACUGCCCGUGUUCAUGUUUACUACUGCUUCAAUUUCUUUGUGAUGCAAAUGUUGCCGGCGAACGUACUUUGUGUAGAAAAGGUUAAAAAAUCACUUUUUCUGGUUGUGAAUUUUUCUAAAUUUGAUCUAGUCUAGCAGUUCAACAUGUAUUGUAUCAUCAAAACACACUCAUAUGUAUUUUAUAUAUGCAUCAACCUAUACAGUUCAGUACAUCAGUUCGUAAUAAACAAAAACAAAUGAAGAUCAGUGCGUGUCCAACAAAAACAAAUGAAGAUCAGUGGUUUUGAUUGCUGCUGGUUUUGUAUCUCAUGGUGGUUCGCAGGUAUAAGAUGGGAUUUUCAUAGCUUUACAUUGUUGUUUUGGUUUGUGGCACAUAGAUGCUUUUGAAAUAUGUUCUGCACAUGUUUUGUUGGAUUCAGUUCCUCCCCAAAAAAGCACUAAAGGAGGUUAAAAAAGCAUGGUUCUGCUUGCUUGUGUCAUUUUUCCCUUCAUCGACAAAAAAACUAGUUCAACUACAAAAGAAUACAUCAGUUCAAAUGUCAGAAAAACAUCAGUUCAAAAAAAUAAAUAAAAACAACUUAAGUAUAUGCCAUCAUGGAGCGCUUGCCUUCAAGAUUUAUCUCUUGUUCUUGUUUUUCCCUUUCCAGGUUUACGUUCUAGCAUACCUUUUUUUUCUUAUCAAUUACUCCCUCCGUAAAGAAAUAUAAGAGCAUUUAGAUUGCUACUUUAGUGAACUAAAUGAUAUUAUAUUUCUUUAUAGAGGGGAAUACCUCAUCUAUCCUUCCUUGUAGAUGGAGAUGUGUGUAUGUAUACAUGUGUUAUGGAGAGAGAAGAACUUAUCUGGUGGUGUGUGUGUGUGUUGCUGCAUCCUCGUCCGACCACUCUAGUCCACACUCUCAGUACAACUUCUCUAUGACUUCAUGUUCACAAAUCUUGUAGUACAUUUUUUUAAUAGAAGUCUUGUAGUACUAUGUAAAGCAAGCGUGGCCAACACAUACUUUUGAAGUGAUGCUAGAAAAACUGAGAUGUCAAAUUUAACAUUCUAUUAUUUUCUUUUAGUUUUGGUGUCUGAAUUUGUGGAUAUGUGAGCAGGCCCCAAUAUAGAGCUAGGCCUUGUCAAUGCAAAUUUAUUAUGCACCUGAUCCAAAUUCUUCUGAUGUUCUGGGCCUCUGGGGCAUGGGUCCAAUAUAUUAGUUUCUAUGCUCCACUGGUUCUCUCCACCACGAGCCCCAGCGUGGAUCACCCUCAGCAGCCAAAUCCAGGCACGCCCAGUCACUGCUCGUGAACCCCGCCUCCAUCAGCUCCACUUCACCGGAGUCGUCAGUGCGCAGGAGUAUGGGUAGCAGGUUCUGGUCAGAGUUCGGACUAUACCAAAUGUCCAAAUUACACGGUGUGGUCUUCUGUUCUUUCCGUUCAUUUCAAGGUAACUGUAGCUGAACUUGUGUUGUGUUGAUACUGAACUUGUGUUUUGGCUGAUUCUAAACUGAUGCGUAUCCAACAUUGGUGUUUAAACAAUUCUUGGUCCAUUGACUGUCUGAAAUUGCAACCUUACUGCCUUGAACUAUGGUCUAAAAAAACUGAACUCAUGCAGGUACUUGGUGGUGCAGACUUGGUAGCGGUGAUAUUUUGGUUCGCUUAAGAGUUCACAAAUGAAGAUUUCAAACAACAAUCUCUAAAUAUUUUCUUGAUCACUAAACAAGACCAAUUUUAGCAUGUUUCCUGAAAUAUUUUAGCAUGUUUUAUGUUUCCAUCUACAAGUUCACACACUAUUGUCUCGGACGUUCAAACAUUUGUUUCCCUGAUGUUCAGAUAUUAUCAUCUAGGAGGAAUACAUGUUGUAACUUCGAGAGAAAACGUUCAUGUUGAUUACUCCUGUCAAGUGUAAAUUUUUUCCAAUAUACAAUCUAUAAGUUCAAUAUCCAGUACAUUAGUUUAGUAGUUGGUACUAACUACUCCAGUUUUUUUCUUGAUGUACCUGUGGUGUCUAGUUUUUCUUUUAGUUCAAUUUCUAAAUUUCAGCCAGUUCAAUUCGUAUUGUAGCUGCACUUUAGUCCACAUGGUUAAUUGUUGGCUGGUGUGUGUGCAGGGUACCGUGACAUUGAGUAGGUGCGAAGUGUAUCACUCCAGCAUGCCAUGCUCCAGUGCAUGUCAGCGUCUUCUCCACUGCAAUGGAAGAUGCAGAUUUUGCUCCGCUCUACUUGCCUUGCUAGUGUUUGCUUUAAUGCCUCAAUGGUGCACUGUGCAUCUUUUGCACUCUGAAGACAGAGCUUGAUUACUCUGUUUCUACUAUUAGUUCAUGCAAACCUGGUUAUAAGAUGUCUUUUUUUUCAUUGUUACUCGAUGUCUCAUUUUCCUGUUUUCUGUUAUAUUUUUCUAGGGAAGGUUCUUGUAAUUAUUAGUUCUUUGAUUGUAUGAUGCAACCGCUCACUCGAUGUCAUUGUCAUUGUUCUUAUAGUUGCAUAUAUGGAAG